This 1245-nucleotide long non-coding RNA is filed under the name Zonotrichia albicollis (white-throated sparrow). RNAcentral describes it as "lncRNA (ENSZALG00000007164.1)". The record is from RNAcentral. Lineage: Eukaryota; Metazoa; Chordata; Aves; Passeriformes; Passerellidae.
UGGGAAUGGUGGGAAUGUGGGAAUGGUGGGAUUGGGAAUGGUGGGAAUGGUGGGAAUGGUGGGAAUGGUGGGAAUGGUGGGAAUGGUGGGAAUGGGAAUGGGGGAAUGGGAAUGGUGGGAAUAAAGGGAAUGGGAAUGGUGGGAAUGGUGGGAAUGUGGGAAUGGGAAUGGGGGAAUAGGAAUGGUGGGAGUGGUGGGAAUAAUGCGAUUGGGAAUGAUGGGAUUUCAUGGUCCAGGAGUAGUUGGACCAGGGGCAGGGAGUCGUCGAUGCAGCUCUGGGAAUGUAGGAAUGGGAAUGGUGGGAAUGUGGCAAUGUGGGAAUGGGAUUGGGAAUGGUGGGAUUGGGAAUGAUGGGAUUGGGAAUGAUGGGAUUGGGAAUGAUGGGAUUGGGAUUUCAUGGUCCAGGAGGAGACGGACCAGGGGAAUCGUCAAUGCAGCUCUGGGAAUGUGGGAAUGGGAUUGGGAAUAAUGGGAAUGGGAAUGGUGGGAAUAAUGGGAAUGUGGGAAUGGGAAUGGUGGGAAUAAAGGGAAUGGGAAUGGUGGGAAUGGGAAUGGGAUUGGGAAUGGGAAUGGUGGGAAUGUGGGAAUGGUGGGAAUGUGGGAAUGGGAUUGGGAAUGAUGGGAUUGUGGGAAUGGGAAUGAGAAUGGUGGGAAUGCGGGAAUGGUGGGUAUGAGAAAAAUGGGAUUGGGAAUGGUGGGAUUGGGAUUUCAUGGUCCAGGAGCAGCCGGACCAGGGGCAGGGAAUCGUCGAUGCAGCUCUGGGAAUGCGGGAAUGGGAUUCGGAAUAAUGGGAACGGGAAUGGUGGGAAUGGGAAUGGUGGGAAUAACGGAAAUGGGAAUAACAGGAUUGGGAAUAAUGGGAUUGGGAAUAAUGGGACUGGGAAAAAUGGGAUUGGGAAUAAUGGGAUUUCAUGGUCCAGAAGCAGCUGGGCCAGGGGCAGGGGGUCGUCGAUGCAGCUCUGGGAAUGGGGGAAUGGGAAUGGAAUUGGGAAUAAUGGGAAUGGGAAUGGUGGGAAUGUGGGAAUGCUGGGAUUGGGAAUGGUGGGAAUAAUAGGAUUGGGAAUAAUGGGAUAUGGAAUAAUGGGAUUUCAUGGUCCAGGAGCAGCUGGACCAGGGGCAGGGAGUCAUCGAUGCAGCUCUGGGAAUGGGGGAAUGGGAUUGGGAUUGGGAAUAACAGGAAUGAUGGGAAUGGGAUUGGGAAUGGUGGGAAUGUGGGAAUGGGAAUGGUGGGAAUGGUGGGAAUAA